GAACAGGAAAUAGCCCAGCACUGAAUCCCGUCGUUUUAACGGCGGCGGGAGAUGUGGUGUUCGGGAGGUUCCGCUUUCUCGUCGUCGUCCUUUCCUGUCCAAGUUCGUCUUGAACGGGGCCGUUUUCCCGUAGAGGGUGCCAGGCCCGUAGCGACGGAGGACGGCGGCGAGAGGGACUCUCCUCAGAGUCGGGUUGCUUGAGAGUGCAGCCCUAAGCGGGUGGUAAACUCCAUCUAAGGCUAAAUAUUACCGCGAGACCGAUAGCGAACAAGUACCGUAAGGGAAAGUUGA
This 291-nucleotide ribosomal RNA is filed under the name Pylargosceles steganioides. RNAcentral describes it as "partial 28S rRNA". It matches the Rfam family "Eukaryotic large subunit ribosomal RNA", at positions 95 to 367 of the family's 3401-position model. The record is from RNAcentral. Lineage: Eukaryota; Metazoa; Arthropoda; Insecta; Lepidoptera; Geometridae.